GUGCUGGAGCAGCUGGAGCGUGGAGACUUCUUCACACAGAGCAUCACGAAGGCUCGGCUCUUCACCUCCGUGCACGACGCCGUGCUGUACUGCCUGAGCCACAGAGGGGACCCCAAGACCCCUGCAAACAGUGAGGUCCUGGAAGUCACCCGGCUCUAGCGCAGCGGGGGGAGGGUGCGCCCCCCAUGCGAGAGGCAGGCCGACCCGCCCACACGGACGCUCCUGGACACUGCCCGACCUGAAACCCACGAAGGCGGUAGCAACGUGUGUCCGCCAGGGGGCGCCUGUGGACGCGCCCGCGAGCAAGCCUGAGUUUUGCAAACCAUCCAGCAGAACAUAACUCUGUGUAUCUAUGCUGAGUCACUCCAGCCCAGGUCCGUUUACUGCAGUUUCCACCAGCUAGUACUGUAAUACAUUGUGUUUUGUAGUAGUUAUGUACUAAUGUAGUUGCAUAAUAUCAUCUGAUGCUAUUAUCAAUUCUUUUUUCCCCACUUGUCACGUUUUACGAAUAGCAAAAAGUGGCGAUUAUGUACAUUAACGAAGCCUGGUUUGCAGAUUCCAAAUUAAAUGAUCAGUAUUGAUAAAUAAUUCAAUACUCCCGAUAAGAAAAUGUCGAAAUCACAGACAAUUGUGAAGUUAAGUGGAAAACUGCAGAACUAAUAAAAAUGACAUUCUGAACUGUU
Molecule: non-coding RNA, 683 nt
Organism: Lepisosteus oculatus (spotted gar)
Lineage: Eukaryota; Metazoa; Chordata; Actinopteri; Semionotiformes; Lepisosteidae
Source: RefSeq, a predicted model, not a curated record